Molecule: ribosomal RNA, 566 nt
Filed under: Bacillus subtilis
Lineage: Bacteria; Bacillati; Bacillota; Bacilli; Caryophanales; Bacillaceae
Description: bacterial SSU rRNA
Rfam family: Bacterial small subunit ribosomal RNA
Source: RNAcentral
CCGCGUGAGUGAUGAAGGCUUUCGGAUCGUAAAGCUCUGUUGUUAGGGAAGAACAAGUACCGUUCGAAUAGGGCGGUACCUUGACGGUACCUAACCAGAAAGCCACGGCUAACUACGUGCCAGCAGCCGCGGUAAUACGUAGGUGGCAAGCGUUGUCCGGAAUUAUUGGGCGUAAAGGGCUCGCAGGCGGUUUCUUAAGUCUGAUGUGAAAGCCCCCGGCUCAACCGGGGAGGGUCAUUGGAAACUGGGGAACUUGAGUGCAGAAGAGGAGAGUGGAAUUCCACAUGUAGCGGUGAAAUGCGUAGAGAUGUGGAGGAACACCAGUGGCGAAGGCGACUCUCUGGUCUGUAACUGACGCUGAGGAGCGAAAGCGUGGGGAGCGAACAGGAUUAGAUACCCUGGUAGUCCACGCCGUAAACGAUGAGUGCUAAGUGUUAGGGGGUUUCCGCCCCUUAGUGCUGCAGCUAACGCAUUAAGCACUCCGCCUGGGGAGUACGGUCGCAAGACUGAAACUCAAAGGAAUUGACGGGGGCCCGCACAAGCGGUGGAGCAUGUGGUUUGAUUCG